GUGCCCACAGUUUGCCCACCGGACGGCCCUGCUAGGUGGGAAGCUCCUUGCAGGCAGGAACCCCAUCUGCUUGACUUUACUUUGGAAUCUCCGCAGCCUCAUACGGGGCUGAGGCAGGUCCUUCCGUAAAAUGGAACUGAAUGAGCGGCGCCAUUCAGUUAAUCCAUCCGCCAAAGGCCAGUCUCCCUUGGGUUUUCAACAGGUCGUUCCUCACCUCGUGCAGCAUUGCAGUGAGUGGGCGACAAGGAACCUCGUGGUCUCCGUGUGCUUUGCGGGGACCACCUCUUCGCAGGGGCCGCCACCUGCCUCUCCGGCGCUGCAUCCUCAGCAUCCCCACUGCCC
Molecule: long non-coding RNA, 342 nt
Filed under: Gorilla gorilla gorilla (western lowland gorilla)
Lineage: Eukaryota; Metazoa; Chordata; Mammalia; Primates; Hominidae
Description: lncRNA (ENSGGOG00000044237.1)
Source: RNAcentral